This 492-nucleotide ribosomal RNA is filed under the name uncultured bacterium. RNAcentral's name for it is "partial 16S ribosomal RNA". It matches the Rfam family "Bacterial small subunit ribosomal RNA", at positions 29 to 507 of the family's 1533-position model. The record is from RNAcentral.
AGUGAACGCUGGCGGUAGGCCUAGCACAUGCAAGUCGAACGGCAGCACAGUAAGAGCUUGCUCUUACGGGUGGCGAGUGGCGGACGGGUGAGGAAUACAUCGGAAUCUACUUUUUCGUGGGGGAUAACGUAGGGAAACUUACGCUAAUACCGCAUACGACCUACGGGUGAAAGCAGGGGAUCUUCGGACCUUGCGCGAUUGAAUGAGCCGAUGUCGGAUUAGCUAGUUGGCGGGGUAAAGGCCGACCAAGGCGGCGAUCCGUAGCUGGUCUGAGAGGAUGAUCAGACACACUGGAACUGAGACACGGUCCAGACUCCUACGGGAGGCAGCAGUGGGGAAUAUUGCACGAUGGGCGCAAGCCUGAUCCAGCCAUACCGCGUGAGUGAAGAAGGACUUCGGGUUGUAAAGCCCUUUUGUUGGGAAAGAAAAGAAGCAGGUUAAUACCCCGCUGUUCUGACGGUACCCAAAGAAUAAGCACCGGCUAACUUCGUG